This 46-nucleotide non-coding RNA is filed under the name Xyrichtys novacula (pearly razorfish). It matches the Rfam family "Histone 3' UTR stem-loop". From Rfam's summary of the family: The mRNAs of metazoan histone genes lack a poly-A tail. 3' end processing occurs at a site between a highly conserved stem-loop (modelled by this family) and a purine rich region around 20 nts downstream (the histone downstream element, or HDE). The stem-loop is bound by a 31 kDa stem-loop binding protein (SLBP - also termed the histone hairpin binding protein, or HBP). Lineage: Eukaryota; Metazoa; Chordata; Actinopteri; Labriformes; Labridae. The record is from RNAcentral.
CCAACGGCUCUUUUAAGAGCCACCCACCACCUACAAAGAGCAGACU